Molecule: non-coding RNA, 74 nt
Organism: Xenopus laevis (African clawed frog)
Lineage: Eukaryota; Metazoa; Chordata; Amphibia; Anura; Pipidae
Source: the annotation of a RefSeq genome assembly
GCCGAAAUAGCUCAGUUGGGAGAGCGUUAGACUGAAGAUCUAAAGGUCCCUGGGUUCGAUCCGCGGUUUCGGCA